RNAcentral lists this non-coding RNA (24 nucleotides) under Arabidopsis thaliana (thale cress). Lineage: Eukaryota; Viridiplantae; Streptophyta; Magnoliopsida; Brassicales; Brassicaceae. The record is from RNAcentral.
AGACAUCGUUACGUUGAUUAUGUA